GAAAGAUUCAUCGGAAGAGGAUGGGCACGCGGCGCAUUAGCUAGACGGCGGGGUAACGGCCCACCGUGGCGACGAUGCGUAGGGGUUCUGAGAGGAAGGUCCCCCACACUGGUACUGAGACACGGACCAGACUCCUACGGGAGGCAGCAGUGAGGAAUAUUGGUCAAUGGGAGAGAUCCUGAACCAGCCAAGCCGCGUGAGGGAAGACGGCCCUAUGGGUUGUAAACCUCUUUUGUCGGAGAACAAAACCCGGGACGUGUCCCGGACUGCGUGUAUCCGAAGAAAAAGCAUCGGCUAACUCCGUGCCAGCAGCCGCGGUAAUACGGAGGAUGCGAGCGUUAUCCGGAUUUAUUGGGUUUAAAGGGUGCGUAGGCGGUCCGUUAAGUCAGCGGUAAAAUUGCGGGGCUCAACCCCGUCGAGCCGUUGAAACUGGCAGACUUGAGUUGGCGAGAAGUACGCGGAAUGCGCGGUGUAGCGGUGAAAUGCAUAGAUAUCGCGCAGAACUCCGAUUGCGAAGGCAGCGUACCGGCGCCAGACUGACGCUGAGGCACGAAAGCGUGGGGAUCGAACAGGAUUAGAUACCCUGGUAGUCCACGCAGUAAACGAUGAAUGCUGGUUGUCCGGGUCGAAUGAGAUCUGG
This 640-nucleotide ribosomal RNA is filed under the name uncultured bacterium. RNAcentral describes it as "bacterial SSU rRNA". It matches the Rfam family "Bacterial small subunit ribosomal RNA", at positions 202 to 842 of the family's 1533-position model. The record is from RNAcentral.